AGUGAACGCUGGCGGUAGGCCUAACACAUGCAAGUCGAACGGCAGCACAGUAAGAGCUUGCUCUUACGGGUGGCGAGUGGCGGACGGGUGAGGAAUACAUCGGAAUCUACUUUUUCGUGGGGGAUAACGUAGGGAAAAUUACGCUACUACCGCAUACGACCUACGGGGGAAAGCAGGGGAUCUUCGGCCCUUGCGCGAGUGAAUGAGCCGAUGUCGGGUUGGCUAGUUGGCGGGGUAAAGGCCCACCAAGGCGACGAUCGGUAGCUGGUCUGAGAGGAUGAGCGGGCACACGGGGAGUGAGAGACGGACACGACUCCUACGGGAGGCAGCAGUGGGGAGUUUUGGACAAUGGGCGAGAGCUUGAUCCAGCAAUGCCGCGUGUGUGAUGAAGGCCUUCGGGUUGUAAAGCACUUUUGGCGGGAACGAAAAGGACUGUGCCAAUACCACGGUUCGAUGACGGUACCCGAAGAAUAAGCACCGGCUAACUACGUG
RNAcentral lists this ribosomal RNA (492 nucleotides) under uncultured bacterium. RNAcentral's name for it is "partial 16S ribosomal RNA". It matches the Rfam family "Bacterial small subunit ribosomal RNA", at positions 30 to 507 of the family's 1533-position model. The record is from RNAcentral.